This 580-nucleotide ribosomal RNA is filed under the name Agrobacterium sp. EA_S_51. RNAcentral's name for it is "bacterial SSU rRNA". It matches the Rfam family "Bacterial small subunit ribosomal RNA", at positions 46 to 675 of the family's 1533-position model. Lineage: Bacteria; Pseudomonadati; Pseudomonadota; Alphaproteobacteria; Hyphomicrobiales; Rhizobiaceae. The record is from RNAcentral.
GCUUACACAUGCAAGUCGAACGCCCCGCAAGGGGAGUGGCAGACGGGUGAGUAACGCGUGGGAACAUACCCUUUCCUGCGGAAUAGCUCCGGGAAACUGGAAUUAAUACCGCAUACGCCCUACGGGGGAAAGAUUUAUCGGGGAAGGAUUGGCCCGCGUUGGAUUAGCUAGUUGGUGGGGUAAAGGCCUACCAAGGCGACGAUCCAUAGCUGGUCUGAGAGGAUGAUCAGCCACAUUGGGACUGAGACACGGCCCAAACUCCUACGGGAGGCAGCAGUGGGGAAUAUUGGACAAUGGGCGCAAGCCUGAUCCAGCCAUGCCGCGUGAGUGAUGAAGGCCUUAGGGUUGUAAAGCUCUUUCACCGGAGAAGAUAAUGACGGUAUCCGGAGAAGAAGCCCCGGCUAACUUCGUGCCAGCAGCCGCGGUAAUACGAAGGGGGCUAGCGUUGUUCGGAAUUACUGGGCGUAAAGCGCACGUAGGCGGAUAUUUAAGUCAGGGGUGAAAUCCCAGAGCUCAACUCUGGAACUGCCUUUGAUACUGGGUAUCUUGAGUAUGGAAGAGGUAAGUGGAAUUCCGAGUG